AAAAAAUGCAAAGUUUUUUUGGUAUAUAUACAACAAAUUGUUUAUCAACUUGUCGCAAGUCACAAUAUAAAAAGUUUCUCUAGUGACUAUGACCAUUCCUGCUUUUAUAAGUGGUCAUGGUAGUAGAAAUUUGUAUGUGCUGCGUUUCUGCUUGAAAGUCUGCACAUACAGCGUUAUUUGCACUUAGCCAGAGGUUAUGUACACCCCAAGCAUGCGUGACUUACACGGCUCAGCUAAUGUCAAUCCUGUGCAAAAAAUCUAUUUGCAGUCAGCACGCACUGCACAUUAGUGAUAGGGGAGGUCAGCUUCUACCUGCAAGAAGAGUCUUCAAUGUAACCAUCCCUGUUCAGAUCCAUGUCGGCUCUCCCCUCCAUUUCUUAUUGCUCUGUUUUUGUUUUAUUCCUUGUCUAUCCCUGAUUCCUUAUCUCCCAGGCACAGAACACGUGCACACACUGAUCUAGGGAGAAUGGUCCAAUCAAGUAGAGGAAGCUGUGAUGUCAUGCGGGGCGUGGAAACCAGCACACGGAGCUUAGCCUGGUGCUGGAUUCUAGGUAAG
Molecule: non-coding RNA, 556 nt
Organism: Pelobates cultripes (western spadefoot toad)
Lineage: Eukaryota; Metazoa; Chordata; Amphibia; Anura; Pelobatidae
Source: the annotation of a GenBank genome assembly